RNAcentral lists this ribosomal RNA (591 nucleotides) under uncultured bacterium. RNAcentral describes it as "partial 16S ribosomal RNA". It matches the Rfam family "Bacterial small subunit ribosomal RNA", at positions 355 to 1375 of the family's 1533-position model. The record is from RNAcentral.
UGGGGAAUUUUGGACAAUGGGCGCAAGCCUGAUCCAGCCAUGCCGCGUGCGGGAAGAAGGCCUUCGGGUUGUAAACCGCUUUUGUCAGGGAAGAAAUCUUCUGAGUUAAUACCUCGGGAGGAUGACGGUACCUGAAGAAUAAGCACCGGCUAACUACGUGCCAGCAGCCGCGGUAAUACGUAGGGUGCAAGCGUUAAUCGGAAUUACUGGGCGUAAAGCGUGCGCAGGCGGUUUUGUAAGACAGAGGUGAAAUCCCCGGGCUCAACCUGGGAACUGCCUUUGUGACCGCAAGGCUUGAGUGCGGCAGAGGGGGAUGGAAUUCCGCGUGUAGCAGUGAAAUGCGUAGAUAUGCGGAGGAACACCGAUGGCGAAGGCAAUCCCCUGGGCCUGCACUGACGCUCAUGCACGAAAAGCGUGGGGAGCAAAACAGGAUUAGAUACCCUGGUAGUCCACGCCCUAAAACGAUGUCAACUGGUUGUUGGGGAAGGUUCCUUCUCAGUAACGUAGCUAAACGCGUGAAAGUUGACCGCCUGGGGAGUACGGCCGCAAGGUUGAAACUUAAAUGAAUUGACGGGGUCAUAGCUGUUUCCU